CAAGCGUGUGCUUGUGUGGCAUCUUAUUUGUCGGGGCUCUAUGCUGAUUAAGAUCUUAAUAUGCGUUGUACUUUGGACUUGAUUAAGAGUAAACCAGCACCGAAACCACACCGUGGCUGGGUCUCGCUAUCGGGGGGCUCACCCUCGGGGGGGGGCAGCUGGUACACCACGCAGAGAGAGGAGUACACGCAGCCCACGAAAGACAUCAGGCUUGAAAAGUACAUCACUCCCUGGGCCCCACCCACCAGUGAGGUCAGAGGUCCCAUCGCCACUGAGACCAGGAUUUGUGCCAGGAAAUACUGGCAGCUGAGCAGAGAGAUGUCCACCCCCAUCCCUCGUCUGGUCCCCUCCUCUGACGUGCCACAAAACUGAGGAACACAUGCAAACAGUUUAAGGUCAUCCCCCUUGCUCUCUCCUCCGUCCCUUCUCCUUCCCCCACUCAUCUCCUCCUUCGCCUCUUCAUCCCGGUGCCUCCCGUGACGUCACGUCCCUCCCUCAGCGCCGCGGAGAGCCAGCGAUGAAAAAAACAACUGUCUGUCCAUCGAUUCAUCUACUUGUACAUACGGUUCUCCAGAAGUGGCAUUGUAAUAUUUGGUAAAUUAUGAUUACUGGCUGAAUAUUUAUUGUGUUUCCAGGGGCACAGAUAAAUACAUAUAUAUGUAUGCAGACAUGCAUCUAUAUUUAACUUAUAUUUAAACCUAAAACACAUUGCUUCACUUAUUGGGGGAGAAUGCCUCCAGAACAAUAAGGAGAUCAUACAUGAAAUUAGCGGGUUUUCAUCGGUUUUCCCCUUCAAAACUUCAGUGUUUCAGUCGUAAAUUCAUGUUGUUGGUCUAAACAUUGUUCAAACCCUAUACAUUUAUUUUAAAUUAUAGUCAAUCUUUAAGGUUUAACAAAUACAAAUAUUCCAGGCAGUAUAAAUGUGUGUAAUGUUAGAGACAAAGCAAGCUGGGGGUUGAGUUUGAAUGUUUCACUAUCUGAACAUCAUGGCGCGAAGGGAGAAGCAAAUGUAUGUAAAGCAUGUAUACGGAAUAUAAAAUAAAAAAUUGCACUUGUUUUA
Molecule: long non-coding RNA, 1060 nt
Organism: Pungitius pungitius (ninespine stickleback)
Lineage: Eukaryota; Metazoa; Chordata; Actinopteri; Perciformes; Gasterosteidae
Exons: 3
Source: RefSeq, a predicted model, not a curated record